This is a regulatory RNA element of 99 nucleotides. It matches the Rfam family "TPP riboswitch aptamer (THI element)". Rfam says of the family: Vitamin B(1) in its active form thiamin pyrophosphate (TPP) is an essential coenzyme that is synthesised by coupling of pyrimidine and thiazole moieties in bacteria. The previously detected thiamin-regulatory element, thi box was extended, resulting in a new, highly conserved RNA secondary structure, the THI element, which is widely distributed in eubacteria and also occurs in some archaea. The record is from Rfam.
AAAAAACACUAGGGGUGCCUUUGUGGCUGAGAUGGAAUUAUCCAAUCCCUUGGAACCUGUAAGUUAAUACUUGCGUAGGGAAUGUGUGCUGUUUUACUG